UACGUAGGGGGCAAGCGUUGUCCGGAUUUAUUGGGCGUAAAGAGCGUGUAGGCGGCCUGAAAGGUCAGCUGUGAAGACUCGGGGCUCAACCCCGAGACGUCGGUUGAAACCAUCUGGCUAGAGUCCGGAAGAGGAGUGUGGAAUUCCCGGUGUAGCGGUGAAAUGCGCAGAUAUCGGGAAGAACACCCGUGGCGAAGGCGGCACUCUGGGACGGUACUGACGCUGAGACGCGAAAGCGUGGGGAGCGAACAGG
Molecule: ribosomal RNA, 253 nt
Filed under: uncultured bacterium
Lineage: Bacteria
Description: partial 16S ribosomal RNA
Rfam family: Bacterial small subunit ribosomal RNA
Source: RNAcentral